GGGAGUGGAUGGGCUCCGGUGGGCCCUGCGGUCUUCAAAAUCGUUGGUCCCGGUGCUUCCACCGGGACGGUGGGUUCGACUCCCUCGCACUCCCGCCA
This 98-nucleotide transfer RNA is filed under the name Dehalococcoidia bacterium. RNAcentral's name for it is "tRNA-Sec". It matches the Rfam family "Selenocysteine transfer RNA". Lineage: Bacteria; Bacillati; Chloroflexota; Dehalococcoidia. The record is from RNAcentral.